AAAAAUACUUCUCAGUAAUGGUUCAAAAGGUUCGAUGCCGGGAAUUCUUUGUGUUUGUGUGUUUUUUCUUGGGACAUUAAGCAAAAUAAUAACAAGGGCUUGGUGGCGCAACCCAUUUCCGUACUUCAAAGGGGACGGCCAUAGCAUCCAUCCAUGGAUCUAUAAACGGUGCCUAUGGCAGCGGCGGACGGCGUCGGCCGUGCGGUGGAAAGCGUGUAGUUUGCUAUCGCUAUGGUGAAAAGAACAAACAAUGCGGGACAAAUAUAAGAACCAAUAAGAACUAGAAAGCUCGCACCCAGAGACGCGUCCUUGAAAGAGGAGUGCAUUGCUUUCGUUGCUCCAUGAGGCCGCUAAUUCUCAGUGCGGAGAGAAUUAGGCGCGUGCGAUGGAUGCGGUGGGGUCUGCUAGUGAGGAGGGCUCUUCGGACGGUGCCACUGGGGCAUCUACAUCGACUGGAGCUCGACCUCGAGGGAGGCCACGGAACACGGAGCAACAGAACGCCGCGGCCAAAGCCAGACAUGCUGAGGCCAUGCGGAGAAAGCGGCGGGAGGAUGCCGAGUUGCGGGCUCGUGAGGUUGAAGCGAGGCGGCGCAAACGUGCUGCGAACCCGGCACUUAAUGCAAAAGAAGCGGAGCGAAUACGGCGUAAACGUGAGGAUCCGCAAAAGCGUGCGAGAGAGGCUGAAAUCAAACGCCAGCGAAGGCAGGACCCGGAAAAGCGUGCUAGGGAGGCUGAAGCCAGACGCCAGCGAAUGCAGGACCCGGAACGGCGCGCUAGGGAGGCUGAAGCCAGACGCCAGCAAAGGCAGGACCCGGAACGGCGCGCAAGGGAGGCUGAAGCCAAACGCCAGCGAAUGCAGGACCCGGAACGGCGCGCUAGGCAGGCUGAAGCCAGACGCCAGCAAAGGCAGGACCCGGAACGGCGCGCUAGGGAGGCUGAAGCCAAACGCCAGCGAAGGCAGGACCCGGAACGGCGCGCUAGGGAGGCUGAAGCCAAACGCCAGCAAAGGCAACGAGACCGUGAUUUACGGGAAAGAGGGAUAAAAUUGAUGCGUCAGGAACGUGAACAACAUCCGGAUCUCAGAGUGCGAGAAGCCGAAACCAGGUACCAACGCUGGCAAGGAUUUCUAGAAAUUCGAGCCCAGGAAGCAGAAGCCAAACUUGGGCAACGAGCAGAGGCAGAACGACAAGCUCAGGAGGGGUUGAGCCUGCAUGCUGGAGACACCUGCACGGGAACCAAGCUGACGAGCACAAUCCCAGAGAGGGAACCACGGCAAGGCUAUCACAAUAAAUAUGUUGGCGAGGAUGAUCCCCUGCCUCAACAAGCCCAUCAAUCUUGUCAGACGGAACACCACAUCACUCUAGUGUGGUGCGCAAGACCAAAUGUGCCAACUUGCAGCACUGCAGUCCAGGUGGAAUCGUGGGAACAGCAGCGUUGAUGGAAGUGCACGAGAAGAUGAAAGACAGUAUGAAGCAGCUUCACAAGGCGGUAGCCACUGUCCUGGAGUGACCCUGAGCAAGCUUGCUCAUGACUGAACCAUCAAAGAUGCUUUGAUGAAACAUCCUAAGGGAUCGGGUCUCCUCUAUCAGCAUUUGACUGCCGUGCUGCUGCUGCGAGACUUAUGACUCAAGAAGCCCAUGUCGUAAGCAGUGUUAAACCACGUGGACUGGCAUGCUCAAGGACCACAAGCCAUUCGACAGUUUUAGUUGGGCGUCCACAGCCGCUCUGCCUACGCAGGAAACCCACGGAAGCAACAAUUUGCAUGCACAGUCCUGUGUGUGCGUCCGCUGCGAGCUUUGUAGGACGUUCUCACAGCUCUUGCUGAAGAUUUGACUCUGGCUUGGUUUGACUUCGUGGCGACUGAUAUUGGCCGCACAGUUUCAGAAGCUAGAACUAUAUGGCGGCGCUGAGUAGCUCGCUACCGGCUCCUGCGCAUGCAAGUCAGCAGUCCCCUUCUAAACUUUUGCGUCUGGCAAACUGUUGCCAUUUCGUGUGCGCGUGCUUUGCUACGUACACAUGACCUCGCGCGCUGCGUACAUUUGACGUUGCGGACACCCAACUAAAACUGUAUUCUCAUUUGCUAUUAAAGGCUAAAAUACCUGAUUACAUUAAGCUUGUGCCUGCUUAUUAAAGAAGCAACAUCUACAAGAGCUUCCAUGAAAUUUAUUCUGCAGUCAUCGGGUCAGCACUUUCGUGACACACUAAGCGUCGCCACCUGAAAAUCCGGGUAUGUGUGCUCUGUUUAUAGCCAAGCUGUGAGAAGUGCUGGGCACUAGUGAAGAUACAUGUAUCAUAGAUACUACCUUUGAUACUCGUUGGGUAUCUUGUAUGUGUAUCAUGAUACGUCUGGUAAGAUGUGUAUCAGUAUUUGUAUUUCUGAUACAUGAAAGAAUGUAUUGUGUAUCUUAAGAUACAGAUAUCACAACAUCACUGUGCGAAACUAGAAACAUUGGCUGAAAUACACUUCUCAAGCUGAUACUACUGCCACUAAGCCACCUGGAUCACACUAAACGUAGCAACAUUCCUUUAUCGUUCCGCCAAAGCACUCAACCAAGAACAGGCAGUGGAGCAGCCACGUGGUGGCACUUACAUCUUGUCGACAGAAACAAACAUGUACAGGAAAGAAAACGACUGGAAGGAUAAACUUUGCCAUAAAUUAAGACACUAGUUCGCUUGAGGUGUGAAAAAAUUUGAGUCCCCUGCAUUUGUCAUAUAAUGGGGAAAAAAAAGGAAAAAUGGUGGAAAUGUGAGCCAAGCUGUAGUUUGUGCUAUGUCUAAUUUUCUUGUUCUACAUCUGAAGGUCCCAACAAGAUUAUAUUCUGGCCAGGAGAACUUGCAUGGGUUAUUAUCCUUUAAAACAUAUAUAUAUAUUUCAGUUAGCGUGAAAACUAUUCCUGUAAUUUUGGAAAGUUCCUAUAAUUUGCAGUUCGUGGAUGGUGGCCUGAGAAAUAAA
This is an RNA transcript of Dermacentor albipictus, 2953 nucleotides long. It is a transcript of the gene named octapeptide-repeat protein T2-like, with no coding region annotated. Lineage: Eukaryota; Metazoa; Arthropoda; Arachnida; Ixodida; Ixodidae. The record is from RefSeq and is a predicted model, not a curated record.